RNAcentral lists this ribosomal RNA (624 nucleotides) under uncultured bacterium. RNAcentral's name for it is "bacterial SSU rRNA". It matches the Rfam family "Bacterial small subunit ribosomal RNA", at positions 172 to 785 of the family's 1533-position model. The record is from RNAcentral.
GAUAGGUAGCAGACAAGCAUUUGACUGCUAUUAAAGUGGCUAAGGCCAUGAACAUGGAUGGACCUGCGGUGCAUUAGCUAGUUGGUGAGGUAACGGCCCACCAAGGCGACGAUGCAUAGCCGGCCUGAGAGGGCGGACGGCCACAUUGGGACUGAGACACGGCCCAAACUCCUACGGGAGGCAGCAGUAGGGAAUUUUCGUCAAUGGGGGGAACCCUGAACGAGCAAUGCCGCGUGAGUGAGGAAGGUCUUCGGAUCAUAAAGCUCUGUUGUAAGAGAAAAACGACAUUCAUAGGGAAUGAUGAGUGAGUGAUGGUAUCUUACCAGAAAGUCACGGCUAACUACGUGCCAGCAGCCGCGGUAAUACGUAGGUGGCGAGCGUUAUCCGGAAUGAUUGGGCGUAAAGGGUGCGUAGGUGGCAGAACAAGUCUGGAGUAAAAGGUAUGGGCUCAACCCGUACUGGCUCUGGAAACUGUUCAGCUAGAGAACAGAAGAGGACGGCGGAACUCCAUGUGUAGCGGUAAAAUGCGUAGAUAUAUGGAAGAACACCGGUGGCGAAGGCGGCCGUCUGGUCUGUUGCUGACACUGAAGCACGAAAGCGUGGGGAGCAAAUAGGAUUAGAUAC